This 174-nucleotide ribosomal RNA is filed under the name Brachybacterium alimentarium. RNAcentral describes it as "partial 16S ribosomal RNA". Lineage: Bacteria; Bacillati; Actinomycetota; Actinomycetes; Micrococcales; Dermabacteraceae. The record is from RNAcentral.
AUUACCGCGGCUGCUGGCACGUAGUUAGCCGGCGCUUCUUCUGCAGGUACCGUCACUCUCGCUUCUUCCCUACUGAAAGAGGUUUACAACCCGAAGGCCGUCAUCCCUCACGCGGCGUCGCUGCAUCAGGCUUUCGCCCAUUGUGCAAUAUUCCCCACUGCUGCCUCCCGUAGG